This 428-nucleotide ribosomal RNA is filed under the name uncultured Enterobacteriaceae bacterium. RNAcentral's name for it is "bacterial SSU rRNA". It matches the Rfam family "Bacterial small subunit ribosomal RNA", at positions 355 to 774 of the family's 1533-position model. The record is from RNAcentral. Lineage: Bacteria; Pseudomonadati; Pseudomonadota; Gammaproteobacteria; Enterobacterales; Enterobacteriaceae.
UGGGGAAUAUUGCACAAUGGGCGCAAGCCUGAUGCAGCCAUGCCGCGUGUAUGAAGAAGGCCUUCGGGUUGUAAAGUACUUUCAGCGAGGAGGAAGGCGUUGUGGUUAAUAACCUUAGUGAUUGACGUUACUCGCAGAAGAAGCACCGGCUAACUCCGUGCCAGCAGCCGCGGUAAUACGGAGGGUGCAAGCGUUAAUCGGAAUUACUGGGCGUAAAGCGCACGCAGGCGGUCUGUCAAGUCGGAUGUGAAAUCCCCGGGCUCAACCUGGGAACUGCAUUCGAAACUGGCAGGCUAGAGUCUUGUAGAGGGGGGGUAGAAUUCCAGGUGUAGCGGUGAAAUGCGUAGAGAUCUGGAGGAAUACCGGUGGCGAAGGCGGCCCCCUGGACAAAGACUGACGCUCAGGUGCGAAAGCGUGGGGAGCAAACA